This 90-nucleotide microRNA precursor is filed under the name Pteropus vampyrus (large flying fox). Its description in RNAcentral is "miRNA (ENSPVAG00000030238.1)". The record is from RNAcentral. Lineage: Eukaryota; Metazoa; Chordata; Mammalia; Chiroptera; Pteropodidae.
AUCACUUGGUGAUCAUAUUAAAAUUUAGAUUUUGAUUUAGGUCAGUACGAGUGUGAGAUUCUACAUUUCUAACAAGCUCCCAGGUGAUGC